GUAGCGAUCUAGCCAGCUAUGAUGCCAAGUGGAAGUUAAUGUUUUGAUCAUUUGUCUGUCCUCCAGCAUAGUGGAUGAGUCAAGGUCACAUGAUUUGUUAUGUGUAUUAAUAGCCUCCAUAGCGGACUACAGCUAGCUGACAUGAUUAUUUUCGUGGGGCGGCCUGUAGCGUAGUGGUUAAGGUAAAUGACUUGGACACGCAAGGCAAUACAGAGGAGAGGUGUGUCUAUGACGGAUAUUAAGCACUAGCUUGGGGAUCCCUGGACGGAGAGAGCAUGGCCUAUGGAACCCUGGCCAGCCUAACCCUGCCCCUACGUCUGGCAAGACAAAGACAACUAUGUCCUGCUGUUGUGGACUCCUGGUCACAGAUGGACAAUGAUGACUUCAUCUCACAGCUGGGAUUCCGAGGGUAUAGGGCAUCGGAAUCGAGCGUCUUUACUUAAUUUAAGCCCCUCACAGGAAUAACACAAAAAUAGGUUCAGCUGAAAACACAG
Molecule: long non-coding RNA, 494 nt
Organism: Conger conger (European conger)
Lineage: Eukaryota; Metazoa; Chordata; Actinopteri; Anguilliformes; Congridae
Exons: 3
Source: RefSeq, a predicted model, not a curated record